GUUUCCGUAGGUGAACCUGGGGAAAGAUCCUUUUUGGAACCUGCCUAGCAGAACGACCCGAGAACUAGUUUCAAAGCGGGGGCCGAGGGGUCCUGCGGCUCCUCGUCCCCUUUAUCUCGGGGGGGUUGCGUUGCGCUCGCGCGGCCGACCCUUCCGGGCGUACAAACGAACACCGGCGCGAAUUGCGCCAAGGAAAUUGAACGAGAGAGCGCGUCCCCGUCGCCCCGGAAACGGUGUGCGAGGGCGGCGUCGUCAUCUUCAAAUAUGUCAAAACGACUCUCGGCAACGGAUAUCUCGGCUCUCGCAUCGAUGAAGAACGUAGCGAAAUGCGAUACUUGGUGUGAAUUGCAGAAUCCCGUGAACCAUCGAGUCUUUGAACGCAAGUUGCGCCCGAAGCCAUUAGGCCGAGGGCACGCCUGCCUGGGCGUCACACGUCGUUGCCCCCCCAUCAACUCCUUCGGGAUUGCGGGGGGCGGAUGAUGGCCUCCCGUGCGCCUCGCCGCGCGGUUGGCAUAAAUACCAAGUCCUCGGCGACGCACGCCACGACAAUCGGUGGUUGCGAGACCUCGGUUGCCCGUCGUGUGCGUUCGUCGCGCAUCGA
RNAcentral lists this unclassified non-coding RNA (601 nucleotides) under Prunus dulcis (almond). RNAcentral's name for it is "sequence contains 18S rRNA gene, ITS1, 5.8S rRNA gene and ITS2". The stretch from base 275 to 430 matches the Rfam family "5.8S ribosomal RNA". The record is from RNAcentral. Lineage: Eukaryota; Viridiplantae; Streptophyta; Magnoliopsida; Rosales; Rosaceae.